This 397-nucleotide long non-coding RNA is filed under the name Gallus gallus (chicken). RNAcentral describes it as "long non-coding RNA NONGGAT007335". Lineage: Eukaryota; Metazoa; Chordata; Aves; Galliformes; Phasianidae. The record is from RNAcentral.
CUGCACAACUCAGGCUUCAAACAACAAACCCAGCCAGCUCUUCUUCUUCGGGCUGACGGUUGGACUUGGAAAAGGCAUGAAUGAAGAAAAAAAAAAAAGCAGACUUUGAGAAGGAAAACAGCUGAGUGGUAAAACAGGUGGGUGGGAUUAGGGCAGAGAAGCUGGAGGCAAAGGUCUGGGCUAUGGAUCAGCCCUCUGCCAAGCAAAGAAACACAAGUACUCAGUGCCCAAGACGAGUGGGUGAAAGCAGUGGCACAAAGCUGCACUUCCUCCCUAUGGACCCCAGGCUGAGCUGUGCGGUGCCUCCAAUGCAACGUGAGCUCGCCUUCCUCCCCCGGCACCACACGGUCAGGGGCUCUCCCCUCUCCUCAGCUGCUGUUUUCCCACAAAUCCUCAG